UACGUAGGGGGCAAGCGUUGUCCGGAUUUAUUGGGCGUAAAGAGCGUGUAGGCGGCCAGACAAGUCUGCUGUGAAAACUCGAGGCUCAACCUCGAGCUGUCGGUGGAAACUGUCUGGCUAGAGUCCGGAAGAGGAGAGUGGAAUUCCUGGUGUAGCGGUGAAAUGCGCAGAUAUCAGGAAGAACACCUAUGGCGAAGGCAGCUCUCUGGGACUGUACUGACGCUGAGACGCGAAAGCGUGGGGAGCGAACAGG
This 253-nucleotide ribosomal RNA is filed under the name uncultured bacterium. RNAcentral describes it as "partial 16S ribosomal RNA". It matches the Rfam family "Bacterial small subunit ribosomal RNA", at positions 524 to 776 of the family's 1533-position model. The record is from RNAcentral.